GUUUUGGAUGGGAUUUGGAUAAACCCGUGAAAUGCUGAACCUAGUGAGAACAAUUUGGAGGAUGAGUAAUUGAUAUGAGAAAAUAUAAAGGGUGUAAAUUGACAUUCAUCACACUGAAAUGAAUUAGUGGAUUCAUUUUAAAGUGAUUGGAACAUUUUGAGACCAAAUAAGUGAUCCAUCAAAGAAUCCCCAUUCCAGCUCCUACCGCUUCUGUCUUCGUGCGCAGCAGCAGCGUCCUCUCAGCCGGACCUUUUCUUUGGAAUCCUUCAGAAGCUUCUCUCAUCUCCGCCGCUUUCAAUCGAAGAAUCCAGAAAUCAAAAACCUCCAUCAUUUUAUUGCCCAAGCUGCCACUCUCACUGCUGCUUCUGAAGUAGAGCCCGAGUAAAACAUUAGAGAUCCUUCUAUUGUACAAAGGAGUGUUGUGCAACGAAUUGUAUUGUUGUGUAAGAAGGUUCAUCAUGUUUUUCACUGCAAUUAGGUGUAUGGCAAAGAAGCCCAAGCCAAAAAUGAAACCAAUUGAGCUAAAAACACCACCAGAGCAGAAUCAAACAAUUACUAGAGCUGUUUUUGAUAUCUUGAAGGAGCAUGGUCCUCUUACCAUUGCUGACACAUGGCAACGCGUAAUGGAAGUUGGUGGUACAGGGGUGACAAGCAAGAGCCAUAUGAAAACAGUAGUUAGAUGGAUGCGGGAGAGGCAGAAACUGAGAUUGAUAUGCAACCACGUUGGACCGCAUAAGCAGUUUUUGUACACCACUUGGUUCACAAAAUCGAAGCCAGACCAGACAAGAAGUAGGAAUGAAUCUUCACAGCCAAGACAUUGAUGUAAAAACCAAGUGCCUUUAGUUGACAUGCAGCUAUCUAACUACUAAAUAUAUAAUAGAGGCGUCGACUUAACGCUCCUUAGGAGGGCUUCGAUGAUUGUUGAAGGUACACAUUGUCAUCUCUUGUUUGGGUCUACUUCAGCACAAUGAAUUAGCAAUCGAAUUCUCUACUUCCCUUAGUGAUCAAUACAUUUGCUUUCUUUUAUAUUUCAAUUUCUGAAAGUUGAUGGGCGGAUUAUCACAUGUUCAGUUAGAAAAUUAGUUUUAGCCCAUGCAACUUCCUUCUAGAAAAACU
Molecule: RNA transcript, 1116 nt
Organism: Impatiens glandulifera
Lineage: Eukaryota; Viridiplantae; Streptophyta; Magnoliopsida; Ericales; Balsaminaceae
Exons: 5
Source: RefSeq, a predicted model, not a curated record